RNAcentral lists this unclassified non-coding RNA (3880 nucleotides) under Hevea brasiliensis (rubber tree). Lineage: Eukaryota; Viridiplantae; Streptophyta; Magnoliopsida; Malpighiales; Euphorbiaceae. The record is from RNAcentral.
AAAAAGUCUACUCAUUAAUUUCCUACUGCCGUUCCUUAUUUUCUCUCCACUUUCUUGCACUUUCCCACUAACCAAACACAACCUCACUCUCAGCUAUGAACAUUAUCACAUAGCCUCAGUCUUUAUCUAUGCAAGCGCCCACAGGUCAGAGACAUCAAAUAUUCCAACUGGAAGAGUAAAUUUGAAAGUUUGCCCAGGGCAUUUUCGGGAGCCAAAAAACUAUAGCGGACAAUGUCUGUCCCACCGCGAGUCCGGUCGAUGGACAUCGCCGAAUCGGAGAACAAGGCGCCGCAAAAGCCGGUGAAGAAAGCUGAGAAACCGCAGCAGCAAGAUACUGAGUCUAAGGAUAAGAAACAUGGGAAAGUGGCGUCUGCUGUUUUGCGACAGAAGUCGAUGAAUGGGUCGUGCUCAUCGGACGUCUCGUCGGAUUCGACGCACAGCCGCGCAUCGUCGUCGUCCUCGCUUUCGUCACGGUCAUGGUCGAGCGGGAAAAUGGCAGUGGCGGCACGGAGGAAUGGAGUUGUAAGGAGAAAACAGUGUGAGGUGAAAAUUGGUAAGGAGGCGAAAACCGGCGGUGACGAUGACUGUUUGGCGGUGGAGAGUGGCAAUGUGGUUAGCGGAAAUAGUGGACCACUGGAUGCAGAUGAUUGCUUGGAAAUUAAGAAAAGGUGCGGUUGGGUUACUCCCAAUACUGGUAAGUUACUGUUAUGGGUAUAUGUUCAGUUGAUUUUUCUCUUCUAUUUUCUUGCGAUUUAUAAAUGUUGAAGAAUUGGGAUAUUUCUAUGGUGAUGGGUACUGCUAUUUUGAGUUGUUUAAAAAUGAGUAGGAAUGGGUAUCAUUUAAAGUUUUUUUUCUUUAUUGUGGGUCUGAAGAUUCAUGCUAAUUGUUGAAAAUUGAAGAAACAAGAACAAAUAGGAAUUGCAUAUUUAUGUUGGAAUGGCCAUUCAAGUUUUAAUCUAAUUUAAAUAACUUGUAGGCAAGCUAUUAUGAUCCAUAAUUCUACUUGUGAGGUUGUUUUAGCCAUUAGAGUCCACUCUGCCCUUCAUGGGGUUUUAGAUUCUGAAAUGUUCUUAGGUUUGCAGCUAUAACACUUAUGAUUUCCUUUUUCAUGUUUCCAGCUUUCUAGUUAAAUGCUAUAAGUUAUGGCAUAUUAAUUGGAAAAGUCAACUUAUUGGACCCAGUUUUGUCCUGGGUAAACUGUUGGGGAAGGUUCUAUUUAUGUCAACUUUUGUUGUGUAUAGAAGAUGGAUACAACUUUAGUGCAUAGGCUUUCUUGCGGGUGAGCUGAAUCACAAUGAUGUUAUAUAGCAAAUUAUUGCUCUAUUAUUUUUUUUCUUAUUAAAAGAAGGCCUUCCAAAGAUAAAUGAAGUUAUUGAGUUUCGAGACUUGAAGCUGCCUUUUAAGCAUUUAAACAGAUGAAGUGCUUUUGUCAGAGUAAAACUGACAAAAUUCCCUUCUGAGGCUAAAAUUAUCUGGUUCCGUAAGUGGUAAGCAUCCAUGCUGAAUAGGUUUUGUCAAAUAAAUUUCUAUUAGGUGAUGAACAUUUGAAGCUUCAAGGAGAUAGCCUGCCACUCUUCCAUCUUCAACACAUAAGCACAGGGAUAGAAGGGGAUUUGUCAUGACACUAAAUUAUAUAAGCAGUUGGAAUAAUUAUUAAGUGAAAGUUUUAUCUCACGGCCAUGAUAUCCAUCUGAAACUAUGUUCAUGAUUGUUUGCGCCAUAAAUUGAGUGAUAUAUUUAGAAUUUAUUCAAUUAUGUUAUUGUUCUAAUCUCCUCAAAUUCUUCUUUCCAUGUUCUCUUCACUUUGUAUAUUGAAAAUUAAUGUCCUUAAUGAAUCCAUGCAACAAAUUCCUCACAAAGUAGAUUUAACAUUAUGAGUUAACCACCUUGUUAUAUUAGUGAGUAAGAAGCUUGCCUAGUAUGCUUAAUGCUAUUUCUGGAAAAGAAGAAAUUGACCUGACAAUACAGGAGAAACUGAUUAUGAGCAAGCUCUUUUGGUAAGACAAGAUAGAAUUGAUAAUAAGCAAGCUCUUUUGGUAAGAAAAGGGAUAGCUGCAGACAGCUAAGAAUCCAAACUCUCCUAUUAUUGCUGAUUAUCAUUGCUAAUAGUUGGACAGAAUGGAGGAUCAGAAUUCUCCUAUUUACUGAUACCUUAUGGGUUGUUAUGUCUCUGAAACAGGAGCUAGUUUUCAUAGGGGAGAUGGAUUCCAUCUGUGUAUUUGUUUUAAAAUUAAUAGCUCGUAAAUCUCCUUCCUAAAAUUCAUGAGAGCAAUUGCUUUUGACCUAAGAAUAUGUGUAGUGUGAUGCAUCUGUUGGAAUAAAAGGGAAGAAGAAGAAGAAGUGUAUCUUUGAUUGAUAAUAAACUUAAACAAGUGAAUAUUAUAUCAAAAUUUCAAAAAUAUGGCAAGAUGUUCUUUUCUUGAGGAUAUCAUGUCAAGCCUUGACAACUGUGUUUGUGCGAAACCAUUGUUUGUGCAUAGAGUAUAUUUGGUCUAUGUCUACUUCUGGACUUGAUUAAUAUCAAAGCUGGAGAUGCUUAUUCACAUGCUCAAGGGGCAAGGUCUAUAUGUAACUGCAAGCCUAUAAAGAAUGUUCUGAAUAAAAAUCCCUUCGAAUAUCUGAUGUUUUUAAUUAGGAGGCUUUGGAUAUUUUCUUACUUGCAAAUUUCUUCCAUGUAGUACCUCAUGUAUUAUGUACAUGAUAUCUCACAAUUAAUUCAAUUGCUAUUUUUAGCUAACUAAAUUUUUCCUCCUCCCAUUGUCCAGAUCCAUGCUAUGCAACUUUUCAUGAUGCAGAAUGGGGAGUACAGGUGCAUGAUGACAAGAAGCUGUUUGAAUUGCUAUGCCUCUCAGGUGCUUUGGCUGAACUUACGUGGCCUGUCAUUCUUAACAGAAGGCACAUAUUUAGGGACGUGUUUUUGGACUUCAAUCCAAUUGCUGUUUCAAAAUUAAAUGACAAAAAGAUAGCUGUGCCAGGAAGUCCUGCCAGCUCACUACUAUCAGAACUAAAGCUGCGAUCCAUCAUUGAAAAUGCACGUCAAAUGUGCAAGGUCAUAGAUGAGUUUGGUUCUUUUGACAAAUAUAUCUGGAACUUUGUAAACCAUAAGCCCAUAGUUAACCAAUUCCGGUACUCCCGUCAAGUUCCAGUCAAGACCCCAAAAGCAGAGCUCAUAAGCAAAGAUCUAGUAAGGAGAGGGUUUCGUAGUGUGGGGCCAACAGUCAUUUAUUCAUUCAUGCAGGCAGCUGGAUUGACAAAUGACCAUCUCGUCAGUUGCUUCAGAUUCCAGGAGUGUAUUAAUGGCACAGAAGUAAGGGAAAAGGAUGAGAGUCUUAAGCCAAAGACUGAAAAGAAAGAAACCAUGGAUCCAAUCGAUGUGGGAAUACCAAGAGCUAUGGAUAAUUAUAGUUCCUCAAAAUAACCAUGUCUUGGUCGAUUAGCUGUUUUCUAUGCUGGGCAAUUUUUGUACAAAUAGUUACCACUACUGCUGAAAGUUACUGUAAAAGCAGUGUUUUGCAUUUUGGUAUGUAAUUCCUUAUUUGAAAUGAUGUGGCUGUAUUAUACAAGUAUUAUUUUCUUCAUUCAAGUGUAUGCAUUGAAAGAUUCUUCAAGAAAAUCUAUGUGCGCCCAUAAUCAGAGGACAUCAAAAAGAAAAUCUCUCUAUAUAUUAUUUAUGGCAUCAGUUGUUGGUAGGCUUUCAGAUUCAGGGCAUCUUAUUUUUCCUUACACCAGAAUGGAAGGCUGCUACAGUAAUGAUGAGAGCAAAUGAACCAGCAGAUUCUUUUUAUUCAGGUGUUUCAUUUUCAGCUAGAAGAAAAAUACUUUUCAAUGUUCCUUGUAUUUGUUUCCUUCUGUAUGUGCCGCGCAUUCAUGUUUAGAUUCU